Molecule: ribosomal RNA, 450 nt
Filed under: uncultured bacterium
Lineage: Bacteria
Description: partial 16S ribosomal RNA
Rfam family: Bacterial small subunit ribosomal RNA
Source: RNAcentral
GUGGGGAAUAUUCCGCAAUGGACGAAAGUCUGACGGAGCAACGCCGCGUGAGUGAUGAAGGUUUUCGGACUGUAAAGCUCUGUUGUUUAGGACGAAAGUGCCUGUUGCGAACAGUUACAGGUAUUGACGGUACUAAACGAGGAAGCCACGGCUAACUACGUGCCAGCAGCCGCGGUAAUACGUAGGUGGCAAGCGUUGUCCGGAAUUAUUGGGCGUAAAGAGCAUGUAGGCGGAGAUUUAAGUCUGUUGUGAAAAUGCGGGGCUCAACCCCGUAUUGCGAUGGAAACUGAAUUUCUUGAGUGCAGGAGAGGAAAGGGGAAUUCCCAGUGUAGCGGUGAAAUGCGUAGAUAUUGGGAGGAACACCAGUGGCGAAGGCGCCUUUCUGGACUGUGUCUGACGCUGAGAUGCGAAAGCCAGGGUAGCGAACGGGAUUAGAAACCCGGGUAGUCC